RNAcentral lists this ribosomal RNA (926 nucleotides) under Arthrobacter sp. RNAcentral describes it as "bacterial SSU rRNA". It matches the Rfam family "Bacterial small subunit ribosomal RNA", at positions 564 to 1483 of the family's 1533-position model. The record is from RNAcentral. Lineage: Bacteria; Bacillati; Actinomycetota; Actinomycetes; Micrococcales; Micrococcaceae.
AGAGCUCGUAGGCGGUUUGUCGCGUCUGCCGUGAAAGUCCGGGGCUCAACUCCGGAUCUGCGGUGGGUACGGGCAGACUAGAGUGAUGUAGGGGAGACUGGAAUUCCUGGUGUAGCGGUGAAAUGCGCAGAUAUCAGGAGGAACACCGAUGGCGAAGGCAGGUCUCUGGGCAUUAACUGACGCUGAGGAGCGAAAGCAUGGGGAGCGAACAGGAUUAGAUACCCUGGUAGUCCAUGCCGUAAACGUUGGGCACUAGGUGUGGGGGACAUUCCACGUUUUCCGCGCCGUAGCUAACGCAUUAAGUGCCCCGCCUGGGGAGUACGGCCGCAAGGCUAAAACUCAAAGGAAUUGACGGGGGCCCGCACAAGCGGCGGAGCAUGCGGAUUAAUUCGAUGCAACGCGAAGAACCUUACCAAGGCUUGACAUGAACCGGAAAGAUCUGGAAACAGGUCCCCCACUUGUGGUCGGUUUACAGGUGGUGCAUGGUUGUCGUCAGCUCGUGUCGUGAGAUGUUGGGUUAAGUCCCGCAACGAGCGCAACCCUCGUUCUAUGUUGCCAGCACGUGAUGGUGGGGACUCAUAGGAGACUGCCGGGGUCAACUCGGAGGAAGGUGGGGACGACGUCAAAUCAUCAUGCCCCUUAUGUCUUGGGCUUCACGCAUGCUACAAUGGCCGGUACAAAGGGUUGCGAUACUGUGAGGUGGAGCUAAUCCCAAAAAGCCGGUCUCAGUUCGGAUUGGGGUCUGCAACUCGACCCCAUGAAGUCGGAGUCGCUAGUAAUCGCAGAUCAGCAACGCUGCGGGUGAAUACGUUCCCGGGCCUUGUACACACCGCCCGUCAAGUCACGAAAGUUGGUAACACCCGAAGCCGGUGGCCUAACCCCUUGUGGGAGGGAGCUGUCGAAGGUGGGACUGGCGAUUGGGACGA